AGCGAACGCUGGCGGCAGGCCUAACACAUGCAAGUCGAACGAACUCUUCGGAGUUAGUGGCGGACGGGUGAGUAACACGUGGGAACGUGCCUUUUGGUUCGGAAUAACUCAGGGAAACUUGUGCUAAUACCGAAUGUGCCCUUCGGGGGAAAGAUUUAUCGCCAUUAGAGCGGCCCGCGUCUGAUUAGCUAGUUGGUGAGGUAACGGCUCACCAAGGCGACGAUCAGUAGCUGGUCUGAGAGGAUGACCAGCCACACUGGGACUGAGACACGGCCCAGACUCCUACGGGAGGCAGCAGUGGGGAAUCUUGCGAAAUGGGGGAAAGGCUGACGCAGCCAUGCCGCGUGAAUGAUGAAGGUCUUAGGAUUGUAAAAUUCUUUCACCGGGGACGAUAAUGACGGUACCCGGAGAAGAAGCCCCGGCUAACUUCGUG
This 433-nucleotide ribosomal RNA is filed under the name uncultured bacterium. Its description in RNAcentral is "partial 16S ribosomal RNA". It matches the Rfam family "Bacterial small subunit ribosomal RNA", at positions 29 to 507 of the family's 1533-position model. The record is from RNAcentral.